AACCUUCGUCACAUAGGACUCAGGAGUAGUAGUCUGCCGUGCAGGUUGUUAACAAAGGUAUUUAUGUCCUUGGAACAUCUUCAAACUGUCGAUUUAUCCCAGACAAGUAUUUCAGAGGUUACGUUGGCAACUAUGGGCGAAAACUGCAAAAACGUAAGGAUCCUUAACUUAUCUGAUUCAUCUGCAACAGAUAAAGGUAUAGCUGGUCUUAUACACGGACAUCAUUGUCCACCUACCAGGGAUCCCUUUGAAACCACUGCCCUCAGCAGAAAGUUGAUACAUCUCAAUGUUUAUGGAUCACACGUUACUUCGAGCGGAGUUCUUGCUGCUUUAGUAUAUAUGCCAAGUCUCCAAGAGUUGAAUCACUCCGAGUUGCUAGCAAGUAUAGCAAGACUGAGUUCGUCUGACCUUGAAUUACAUUUAUUUAAGGAAUAUAGGAAGAUUGGCUUAGAUGAAAAUCCUGUCCUGAAUUUACGGCGGUUGCAGUGUGACGAAUAUGGCUUUAACAUGUCGGGUAUAUGCUGUGAUGCUAGUUUAAUUAGUUUUGGUGUGACCAUGUGCCCACUUGUUCACUCUAUUAAUUUUGGAGAUUUAAUAUCUGUAAGAAGUGAGAGUUUAUUACCACUUUUACAACUAAAUGAAAUUGAUGAUCUUACGCUGUACUUUGAAGAAAAAGAAGAAGUUGAUUUUUACGAACACAUUUUGCCACUCCUGUUGAAGUUUGGUCCUGGGUUACGUAAACUUCAUCUGCGUUCUGUUCACAAGGUUAACUUGAAAGUCAUUGGCUGUCUGUGUAAUGAACUGCAACUUCUCAGACUCAUGUCGAACUGUUAUUACUGUGACAGAAACCCAGGCGAGGCCUUUUCCUCCUUGUCGAAAGUGCAACCAAGUUUUCAACACCUGAAAAUCAUUUCUGUUGAUAAUGAAGUUGGAGGUAAUUUGCAUGAACACAUGAAAGCACAAAUACCAGUUGACAGCAUAAGACUUCUCCUCCAGUCUCCUUGUUUAGAAGAAAUUUCACUCAUUGAUCAAGAUGGACUCACAGAUGAGGUACUAAUGGCUUGUGCACGCGAAACCAAGCUCCCAAAACUUAAAGAAGUUCAGUUUGUAGUGUGUAAUAAUUUAACUGUGACUUCCAUUUGGGAGGUGAUGCACUUGAAAAAUCCCAUGUCCACUCUGAGACUUAUUGACUGUAAACAAAUAACUGUUAAUGACUAUAAAGAUUUAACUACAUAUGUGAAAAGAAAUAAGUUUGCUCUAGAUGUUUUAUGGAGCUAGUACCAAGCUAUUGCUUCUUAACAGGUUACUGCUCAGUGCAUCUUGUGUGAUGUUCUAAAUCAGUGUAAAAGGAUCUCUGCAGUUCCCAUACAGCUCUACCCUGCAUUGAUAUUCCUCUUCUUUUUGUCAAUUCCCGUUGAUCUUCUUAAACUGUGUUGUUCUCCUGCUUUCAUUUCCUAUUCAUGAACAAACCCUUUAGGUCAGCUUUGUGAGAGCCAAAGAAUUCUUACCUAGAGAUCUGAUUACACUUUGAAGAGAAGUUUCCAUAUGAAGACUGAAGAUUAAUGGAGAAUGCUCAGCACUCAUUUUUCAGCACAUUUCCAUUCUCCAGCUGAAUGUUAUAUGUAUUAAGUUGUGUUUGCAUGCAUAAAGGCAAAAGUGACUGGGAUUACAAGGAUACUUCCAAGUGUGCCCCAAGGUCUGCCAGGCGACAUCCUUCCCAGAUGGCAGACAAGUACCUUCGAUAAUUCCCUUAACCAGUUUGCCUCAUGUAUCCACCUUUGCUGCAUUUCCUCCUCAUCCUUGAAAACCACCAUCACCACCUCCAGAACUUUGCAGCAACUAUAUCUUGGUCCAUCGGUUGUGAGUGAAGUUGAAUUAGGAAGCAAAUGCAUAACCCUUGUUGUCCUUUGGCAUCAAUCAACUGGGUUAUUAUGGCAGGAUGCGCAGGUGCAUUGUUGACAAGAAGCAAGGCCUUCAGCCAUGUCUUGCAAUGCUUAGGUCCUAUGACUUAUGGUGAACUAAUCACCGGGAGACUAGCCAUCGAUCCAGUUUGAAACAGUGGCUGUCAGAAGCAUUUGCACAUAAAGCAAACAUUGUUUGGAAAGCUUUUGAGCAGGGAAAUUCUUUUCCUUCAUGUCAGCCAAGGUGUUAGUGGACAAGGAACUAUCAAGUAGAUUGGUUUUUUUAGUGCUACAUAUACUAGACUUGACUUGAAACAAGCCCUUUCUUUCAUGUGCCAAAAUUCCUCUAUUCCUCCUCCAAAAUUUCCUAAGGCUUUACCAUGAAUCUUCUUGUUGGAGAGCCCAUGCUGACCUUUGAACUGAAACAGCCAACAUUCAGAUGCCUUUUAUCUUCACAAUAUGUAAUGUGGAAAAUAGAAAAUGAAACAAAGGACUAAAAAUCACAGUUUAUUGGACGGCACUUUUUUCUUUUAAAGGAAUGUUUAGUGCAAUUACACAGUCUAAGAAAAAUCUAUUUAAAAGGAAUUGCUUGACACAUUAGUUUGCAACAGUAAAGAAUAACUUUAGCUUUGUACACAUUAAGAAAAUGGGGUGAGAAUAUGUAAUGUACUGUACUGUCUAAGCAAGCAACAAUUCCUUAAAGACACAUUUUACAUAACUUCCAAGAAAAUAACAAGAAGUAUAAUGCUUUCUAUAAAAAAAGAGCAUGAGUUCUCAAAAUACAAAAUUUUACUUAGUGAAAUGCAAGAUCUCUGAAAGUAAAAUCUUAAAAAGUAGUUUUUCAUAAAUAUCUCCAUCAAAUUGCAUGCAUAAUUGAAUGUAUAAAUUAUUUGUUACCCUGAAAAUGUACAACAGUUAAGGCAGUGAUGAUCAAUAUUACAACCUGCAGUUAGAACCAAGCAAAAUUCAAUUUGCAGUGUACUGUACAACAAUCUCAGUCUAACCACCCUUUCUCUGGCUACAAAAAACAGAAUACCCUGCAGAAAUGAGACUAAAUACACACACCACCCUAGUUACAUUCCUGACGGCCAUUAGUCUGUUGAAAUUGUUCAUAAGUUGGUUACUGUACUCUUCUCUUCUUGCCCAUUGAAGUACAGUAUGAUAUAAAACCAAUGCAAUAUUGUACGUUUUUCAUCCUAAAAAACAAUAUGUACACUGUGCACACAGCACUCCACGUACAGAAUAGGUGCGCAAAACACAAUCUGAACUUACGGGUGGCAAGAGAGAACGAUCUAAACACAAUUUUAACUAGUAAUCCGUUAGUAUCUCUGAAUGUUUGCCAGUUGAAUGUAGGUAAGUAGGGUGGUGUCUGUAUAAGCAAAUAAUCAUUAUCAAUAAAUAUACUUCAAUUGGAAAAAAAAAUUGCUUAAACAUUUUAGGUUUCUCUGAAUAAAUACAAGUUAAUACAUACUAAGAAAUAUAUUAACUACAGUAUACCAAUUAAGUGAACACCCCUAGGUCAUUGGAGAGAAAAGCCAGAGUGGCCAUCAAGUAAUGCUGUCACUCAAUCACGAUAUAUAAAUAGAUCAUUUGGUUUAAAAUUAAAGCCUUACUGAGUAUAGCAUUAACAAAAAAGAUAAAAAAAAAAGGCAAAGAAGACUUAAAUCUACACAGAGUACAGCAAUAAGUAGAAAUCAAGCUGUUUGGUUUAUCAUAACUUAACCAUUAUGUAAAAUUACGGAAUGUUAAAAGCCUAAGAAAUAAAAUUCCUAGAAGGCAGCCACUCAAAUAACUGUAUCUAUCUAUUUCUCUCUCUCUGUCUUCUAUUCCUAAUUCGAGAUCAUAAUGGCACGCUUCAGCAAUCAGAUUGCACACAACAAAAAUUUCACACGCGUCAGUCUUAGUAACGACUAUUUUUCCUAAAGGCAAAUGCCAAGCAGGAAUGAAAGAAAACAAUUGGGCCCAAUGCUAAAUGUGGCGACAGGCACACAGGAGAAUUUACACUGUAGGCUUUUUACUUUUUACUUUUUCAAGCUUUAACAGAACAGAUGCAGAGUAAGCAAACGGGUAGGCGUGACAAAUCCCAACCUUUCCUAGUCUGCCAUGACCUGAUCUAACCAGACCUUACCUUCCUACCCUAACUUAGGGUGCCAUGACCUGACCCCUCCAAGGACCACUGAAUAUCCCUGCCUUCCUACUCUGCAUACUACCCAUUUUAAGAUGUCUCUUCUUGAGCAACAAACAAAACCAUGAUACUGACUUCUAAUAAAAAUUAUCCUGGCAGGUCAAAUGGAUCAAUGAGCACAAUCAGCAUGUGUUCACCAUUACCAGUUAAUUAAUUUGUUCACAUUACUGUACUGUUUCUACUAUCUUUAUGUUGCAUACUUUGCAACAUGCAUGCACAAUGUAACAAGAAUUGAAAUUGCUUCUUUAUAUGGAUGUAAUUCCUAUACUUACAAAGACAUUUAUACUCUUCACAAGCCAGACUUUAAAGCAAAAGUCUCAGAUAAUACAGCCAAAGUUCACACCCUCAAAUACCCCUAAGUAAAUUUCUUUUAAAUACAUUCAGUAAUGUGGUAUACUUGUCAUGCACCACGCUUCUCCAUCAAUAAAUAUUUUCAUCCUGUUAUGCAAGGACACAUGUUUUUGUAUGUGGAAGACCUGAUUCCUGAUCAACUAAUUAAUGAGAGGUACUGACACCACCCUAUUUACAAAUGAGUUAUGUUCCAUACACCCAUUUGUAUGUUGAAUUGUUUGAAAGUUGAUUACUGUAUUUUUCAUGUUUAAUUAAGUACAGUUGGAUAUAAAAUCAAUACAGUACGUGUACUGUAUGUUUUUUAAUCCUAAAGCACAAUACACCGUACAUAUAGUACACGCGGUCCCUGGUUGUCGCCAAUCCAGUUUUAUGGGGCUUGUCUAAGCGCCAUAAAAUCGGCAAUAUAUGGGGCCAUAACGGGCCAAGUUCCGGUUAUCGAUAAGGCACCAAUAAUACAGGCAGUCCCUAGCUUAUGACGGAUUCGGCAUACAGCGUUCCGAAGUUACAACACUUUUCAAUUAUAUUUAUCAGAAAUUAUUUCCAGGUUUAUGACGCAUGUUCCAGGGUUACGACGCCUACAAUGCUGAUCCGGCACAAGAAAUAUGACUCCAAAAAUGCAAAAUAAUCAAUAUUUGAAGGUUUUGUAGAUGAAAAAUGCAAUAAGAAGGCAGUUUACUUAGUUUUUAAUGUACCCAAAGCAUUAAAAGUAAGGUUUUCUUAGGAUUUUUUACGAUGUUCCGGCUUAGGACGAUUUCCAGCUUACAACGUGUCUCAAGACCGGAACCUCCAUCAUAACCCGGGGACUGCCUGUAGUUAUGGCACCAUAACAUAUACCCAACAGAGGAGCUUAUGGCGCCGAUAACCGGUUACUGGCGCCACAAAUCGCCGAGUUUCGGUUAAUGAUGCUUUCCGCUUAUCGGCACACCCCCAGGAACGGAACCCCCGCCGAUAACCAGGGACUGCCUGUAGUGUAUGUACGGAAUAGGCAGAAAACAAAAUUUGAACUUACAGGCAGCAAGGAGGAACGCUCUGAAUACAAUUUUAAUUUGCUAUCCUGUUUGUUUGUAUCUCUUAAUGUUUGUAAAUUCAAAGUUGGCUGUUAUUAAGCAGGGUGGUGCCAGUAUUAAGAAACCUGAAUGUACAACCUUUUGACAAAAUAACUACAACCUUUCUGCUAGAUUGUCAAAGGCUGACUGUGACAAAGGCAAAGGCAGUGUGCUAUACAUAAGUGACCAACUGGAGUUAUGUACAACAAAUCACUACUGGAUAUACUUACAAUAUUAGCAGAGGGCAUUUAUGCUCAGAGAUCUGCAUUCACUCUGGCUGUGACACCUAAUGCUUCAAGUUUCAAUGCUCAGGUUUUUCAAAACGGAGUAUUUCUUGGAUAAGCAUUCCCUAAUAAAAUUACACUAUGAGUAUUUCUUGAAUAGGUAUUCAGUUGUCAGAUUAAAAGUAUGAAAAAAUAAAAUAUAAAAACAACCAUACAGAAUCAGACAUGAAGACUGUGGAAUUUGAAAGAUCACAUUCUCCAAAACGGAAGCAAAACGAUUAUUAUAACUGACAAAAAGUAAAAGGUUCACCAUGUACAAUAAAGUUCCACAUUCAUCAAUUUAGGAGAUAAACAUUCACAUCAGUUACAGAAAAUGUUGCUUAUGGGCUCAAGACUAUGCCCAUAUAAAAAAAACUCGUCUAUCCUCACAAUAUUAAAAAAAUGGACAACCAUCAAGCCAAAACAAAAGCACAUUUUAAUCUACAUUUUGACCGCUUCUAAAAUACGUAGGUCUCGACAUAUUCGGUGAACGAUCAAUUUUAAACCCCAACAAACUUAACAACUCUACUGAGGAAGCAAUGUAACACUCAAAUCAAACUACCCUUGAAAUAUCACAUCCAAGUUGUCACUCAAAAUUCACUGUAACUUCAUUGAAAUUUUUUAUACGAUUUGCUUGCCAGUGAAAUGAGCUCAAGAAAUCAUGCAGAGGGCUGCACACUUAUUGCCUCUAGUGCAACUAAAAUUAAGUCACAGAAUCGCACUAUCAAACCUAAAACAUUUCAUUCUCCUCUGGCAUAAGGACAAAGGCUAUGCCAGAACUAUAACAGUACUCCUUAAGCAAAAGCAACAAAAUUAAUGUAUGAGAUUUUCACUCAAAAUGUAUCAUAUAUCUUUGGCUUUAGUUCCCACUGAAAAUUUUUUUCAAACUUAUCUAAAUAUCAUAAGCUUCAAUUCUAAUAUACUUUUAUGAGUUUACCCUUUAUGUAUGGUUUAUUGCUGCUAAUUAAGUUACUCAUUACUUUCCAGCUGAUGUACAAACUAUGAUGAAAUUACUUGUGGGCAGUCCCCAGCUUACCGCAGGGAUUCAGUUCCUGGCAGUGGGCUGUAAACCAGAACUUCAUAAUAAUAAUGGAAUAAAUGGGGCUUACGGCCCCAUAAAAUCAGGUAACUGGCACCAUGAGCCAAGGGCUGUAAAGUCAGAACGAUGUAACCUGGGGACUGCCUGUACUUGGACAAAUAUUGAUCAAUCUUGAAAAUUUUAUGGAACUAUGAAUUUGUUUUUAUCGCCAUACUAUAAACCUCCUCAAGAUCUGUAAAAUAACAGUUUCACCCUGCCUUUCCAACUACUAACAGUUCUCUACUUUUCCUAACACGCUCACUCACUGUGCAACAUGAAUCUUUGUAUGGCAGAAAUGUUAACUCCAACAACUGAAUUACUGCAAUUCUGAUGUUCAACAAAAUAAUUUGUCUAUAGUCCACAAAUGACUGACCAAAGUUUUCCCUAUUUAUAAUUUUAUAUUUUCUCUCCUUUGCAAUCUAGCAUCAUGGCAAAAGGAAUUGAAUUCUCUUGCUUCUUUCCAACCAUUUUAUCACGCUGAAAUAAACUGGCUAGUCCCAUCCUCUCAUUAGUCACUUCUCCCUGAAUCAUCUACCUAACAAUAAACUUUCAAGUUACUUGCCAAUCUCAAAGAGGGAAAAGUAAUGAAGGCAAUAUCAAAGUGUAAGUGAUAUUCCAUCCAAAAGUUGU
Molecule: RNA transcript, 7454 nt
Organism: Macrobrachium nipponense
Lineage: Eukaryota; Metazoa; Arthropoda; Malacostraca; Decapoda; Palaemonidae
Source: RefSeq, a predicted model, not a curated record